UUCUGGUGAUCUUCUAUCGUGACUCUUCAAUGAAGUAUGGCUGUUAAUUAAUCUCACUCUAAGCGCCGAAAUCAACAUUGAUUUAGUGUUGGUUUUACAGUAAGUUGGAAGCUCUAUUCUCUCGUUUAUUUUGCCCUUUUCAUUUGAAUUUUUAUUGUUCUUUUGCAGUUCGUCUAUCUGCAGAGACCCCCAAAAGCACUAAUCCUUAGUUCAAACUAAAAGUCCACUACGGAUAUUAAGUUAAAAGCAUAUAACUGUUUGUAACUUUAAGAAAAGAUGAGAGAAGUCCAAAAACAAAAUUAAAAAAUUUAGGGAUAAAGCUUGAUAAACGACGAAUUGCAAAAGGACAAUAACAGUUGAAAUGAAAACGGCAAAAUAAACGAGAGAACAAAGCUUCGAAUUUAUCGUUAAAACCUACACUAAAUCAACGCCGAUUUGGGCGCAAAAAGUGAGAUUAAUUAACAGACAUACUCCAUUGAAGAGUCAGGAAAAUCGAAGAUCACCAGAAGAAUAAUCUUAUCGAUUG
This 526-nucleotide long non-coding RNA is filed under the name Panax ginseng (ginseng). RNAcentral describes it as "long non-coding RNA (PGIN_LNC016262)". The record is from RNAcentral. Lineage: Eukaryota; Viridiplantae; Streptophyta; Magnoliopsida; Apiales; Araliaceae.